Long non-coding RNA from Seriola aureovittata, 269 nucleotides. RefSeq lists it as uncharacterized. NCBI's taxonomy places the organism in Eukaryota, Metazoa, Chordata, Actinopteri, Carangiformes, Carangidae. The transcript is spliced from 3 exons. The record is from RefSeq and is a predicted model, not a curated record.
GGACAGUCUCCAGUAGCAGUUAGAAUUACCGUUCUGCUGGAUCAACCUCAAGAGAAACACCUGCUGCAUCAGUCUGAUUUUUAAUCAGGACCCUGCGAGGAAAGAUCCGAUGUGUUAUCAAAUCAAAGACUUCAUCUGCUGGACCAUGUGAUGCAGUUGAAAACUCCAGGAAAACCUAUAGUUGGAUGGCGACGAGACCAUCGGAGGAUCCUAAUGAGCAAAUUGAGUUAGGUAAAUCACCACCUGUACCCCACCAAACAAGAUGAUUU